CGUCCGUAAGACUUAGCAAGGAGCAGUGCAUCUCUGUGCACGUCAGCGGAAGGAUUCAUCCACACUCAGACGCUGCUUCUCCGUGGGGGAAUUCAUUCUUCCGUGAGAGAGCAGCCGGCUCAGAGUUGGGGACGAUACUUGAGGACCAGAAUCUGGAGGACGCUGUUAUCAGGAUGAAUGACAAUGUUAUGGUGAAGCCUAAGGACUAAUAUGUGAAGAAAUAAUGCAAAUAAAUGAAAAUAUGAAUCAUGAGUAGUGACAAGAUUCCACUGAGGAAAUUUAUUUGAAGCAUUUGGGGAAAAUUUUCAGCUGAGGUGAAUUAGAGGACUGAGAAGCCUAUGAAAGCCCCACUAAACAUUGUGUGUUACAAUCCACUAAGAACACUGGAAGACACAUGGAUCUGAACAAAUCCUACAAUGACUUUCCUUCCACAGAAAAUAUUUCAGCACACAGAGAAGAACCAUGGAGAUUAACCCUGGAGGAAAUGUGGAAAAGCCCAGAGAUACAAGGGAACAGUGUCUGGGGGAUGCUUUGAAAUGUAUCACACUUCUUGGAAACAAUAACAUGGCCCUGGACAACCCUGCAUCCUAAAAUGGCCCCUGCCUACAGGAAACCAGUCACUCCAGAGAGAACAAAGACCUGCUCUUUCCUGUCUCGCCCUCAGUCAUAGCCAGUCAUCUGCCUCCAUCACACUCCUCCAGCCCUUAUAAACCUCACCCAGCCAAGCCCUGGUUGCUGCUCUCACCAUUGUUCGAGACAGCCUGGCAGCUCUGUCCCUUAAUAAAAGCUCUGCUUUGGGUGUUCGUGUUUCACCUCAUUUUAUUUCUCUCAUUAUUGGUGCUGAACAGCGGGGAGGGAUGUGAUUGGGAUUUUGCGAGGGUCCCCCCACUGGCCAAGGUUGAUUGGCCUCCUGACUGCCCUUGUCGGACCCUGCCAAGCCAACACCCUACCAGGAG
Heterocephalus glaber (naked mole-rat) is the source of this 956-nucleotide long non-coding RNA. NCBI's taxonomy places the organism in Eukaryota, Metazoa, Chordata, Mammalia, Rodentia, Bathyergidae. The record is from Ensembl.